GGGAGGGGAGCAAAGGGGGAGGGGGCGGCCACCCGCACCGGAGGAAGAGGAGGAGGAAGGAGAGGAGGAGCUAGCUGCGCACUAAGGACUUGUGGAGAAGAUAAGGACGAGACCUGUACUGCGCGACCUGUGUGUUUAUCCCGGUUGGUGUUUCCAACCGGGACAAAAGCCUCAAUUUUUCCCGGUUGGAAAUACCAACUGGGACUAAAUCUUUUCUCCUGUUUGGAAUUAUCACCAGGGAUAGGGGGAGCUUUUAUCCCGGUUGGAAUUAUCAACCAGGAUAGGGGGGGAUGUCGCUGCUAGAUCUUUUCAAUAGGGACUAAAGCCCCUCCCGUCAGUGUCGUUUCGGUCCCUCAUUUUUG
Molecule: long non-coding RNA, 362 nt
Filed under: Setaria viridis
Lineage: Eukaryota; Viridiplantae; Streptophyta; Magnoliopsida; Poales; Poaceae
Description: long non-coding RNA (SVIR_LNC001505)
Source: RNAcentral